This 1560-nucleotide long non-coding RNA is filed under the name Betta splendens (Siamese fighting fish). RNAcentral describes it as "lncRNA (ENSBSLG00000005625.1)". Lineage: Eukaryota; Metazoa; Chordata; Actinopteri; Anabantiformes; Osphronemidae. The record is from RNAcentral.
AUGCCAACGUUGGAAUCCCCCAUAAUGACCAUCUUUUUUUGUAGGCAGAUGCUCCAGUCCCUCAGUUUCCUGCUGGUGUUGGGGUGGCGAGUGGGCUUGAAAAUUUCAGUACCAGGAGGAGUAGAGGGGGUGACAAAGAUCUCCAUGAGGGUAAGUUGCCUGCGGCUCAUCCUAUGGGGAGAUCUGGCUGCUGCAGGAGGAGAGAGGAGAAAGAGAGGCCCCAUUUUGGUCAGGGAGAGGGGGCCUGGAGAGGCAAGAUGGAGUUCAGCCGCAGCAGCAGCAGGAGGAGGAGGAGAAGAAGGAGAAUCGGAGGAAGAGGAGACAGCCCCCUGCCGGAUGAUUGUUUGAUCCUCUUCAUCAGCAGGGCGCCAGGCUCCACUGUGGAUGUCUCAUCCUCCGCAAAUCGGGUGUUUGGGAGCAGAUCUUCCUCCUCAGACUGGCGAGUGCUGAAUUUGGACCUGGAGCCAGUCCUGGGUUCUCUCUGUGAUUUAGGAGAUGGUGGCGUGUUUGCGACCAUGGGAGGAGUGGGAGACACUGGGGUAGAGUGUGAGAGCAGAUGAGGAUGGGCGUUGUCAUCGUCGUCAUCAUCAACAUCCUCUCCCUCAUCCUUAACAUAAUGAUAACGUUCAUCAUCAACAUCAUUGUUGUACUCCUCUUCCUCAGCCAUGCUCUCCUCUCCUUCUGAUUGUUGGGAGGGGAGGGGGGACCAAUCCCCGCCCCUCAGGUGAGUCAUAGUGCCCAUGGAGGCAGUGGUGACAGUUCGAGGUGGGGCAAAAGAUGUGAUGCAAGCUGCAGCAGGUGCAUGUGUUUGGGCUGCAGUGCUGCGUGUGGCUGAAGGAGCCUGUGAUGUUGUGUGGGAGAGGGGGGGAUGCUGAGGGGAUUACCUGAGGUGAUGCUGAUGGGGAGGAGUCAUCUGAUUGGGCUCGGGAGGGGCUCCCAGGUGGGUCCAGUACACCUCGGGCAUUCAGGUUGUCAGACAAAAAGGUCUCAGCCUCCUGCAGGGUCUUGGGGAGGAGGCGCCGACCCAGAUUGCGACGGGCCCAGCCUGACGCCACUUCAAAGGGACCCCUCCAGUCCUGAUGUUGGGCAUCAGCCAUCUCAAGGAGAUGCUGCUGUAUCACAUCCUCAUAAUGCUGCUUCAUUAUGGUAAUAUUAUUGUGUUCCCAAUUUUUAGCAUUACCUUGGAUUAGGAGGAGCGUUGUGUGUGUGGGAGAAGCUGGUUUUAUAACGGUAGCAAGAGUCUCCGUCAUCUUGCUUACCUGGGAUGGUGCCCGGGCUCCGGACCAGUUCCGGAGGUGGUGGAAUGCCACAAUGAUUUUGUGUAGGGGCUCGGACCUUUUCCCUGAAGCGAGGAUCAUCUGACUGGAUCCUCAGCGGCUGCUGAUUUCUGCUUUGUGACUGGCGGUCCGGUCUUCUGCGGUACUGUGGUCCGGCCCGGUCUCUUCUCCAUGGGAGAAUUGCGCCGCUGGCGUCUGCCGUAUGUUGCGCGACGUCGCGGUCGGCGGAACGGUGAACGGUCCAGUUGUGGAGGUUCAUAGCGGUGACGUGGUGCAGAAUUGU